GACGAACGCUGGCGGCGUGCUUAACACAUGCAAGUCGAACGGAAAGGCCCUGCUUUUGUGGGGUGCUCGAGUGGCGAACGGGUGAGUAACACGUGAGUAACCUGCCCUUGACUUUGGGAUAACUUCAGGAAACUGGGGCUAAUACCGGAUAGGAGCUCCUGCUGCAUGGUGGGGGUUGGAAAGUUUCGGCGGUUGGGGAUGGACUCGCGGCUUAUCAGCUUGUUGGUGGGGUAGUGGCUUACCAAGGCUUUGACGGGUAGCCGGCCUGAGAGGGUGACCGGCCACAUUGGGACUGAGAUACGGCCAAGACUCCUACGGGGGGCAGCAGUGGGGAAUAUUGCACAAUGGGCGGAAGCUUGAUGCAGCAACGCCGCGUGCGGGAUAACGGCCUUCGGGUGGUAAACCGCUUUCGCCUGUGACGAAGCGUGAGUGACGGUAAUGGGUAAAGAAGCACCGGCUAACUACGUG
This 468-nucleotide ribosomal RNA is filed under the name uncultured bacterium. RNAcentral describes it as "partial 16S ribosomal RNA". It matches the Rfam family "Bacterial small subunit ribosomal RNA", at positions 28 to 507 of the family's 1533-position model. The record is from RNAcentral.